RNAcentral lists this non-coding RNA (29 nucleotides) under Homo sapiens (human). The record is from RNAcentral. Lineage: Eukaryota; Metazoa; Chordata; Mammalia; Primates; Hominidae.
UGCAGUAACCACUCUUUGGUCCUCAUGGG